This 165-nucleotide microRNA precursor is filed under the name Podarcis lilfordi (Lilford's wall lizard). The record is from RNAcentral. Lineage: Eukaryota; Metazoa; Chordata; Lepidosauria; Squamata; Lacertidae.
AGCGAGCUGAGUGGGGAGGAGAGAGGGACAGAGAGCCUGCUUGCUUUAAAGGAGCCAACCGGACAGGAGCCGCUUACACGAGUGUAAGCGGCUCCUCUCCUCUCCUGCUUUGCUCCUUUAAAGCAAGCAGGCUCUCUGUCCCUCUCUCCUCCCCACUCAGCGGCU